GAUGAAGAACGUAGCGAAAUGCGAUAAGUAAUGUGAAUUGCAGAAUUCAGUGAAUCAUCGAAUCUUUGAACGCACAUUGCGCCCGCCAGUAUUCUGGCGGGCAUGCCUGUCCGAGCGUCAUUUCAACCCUCGAACCCCUCCGGGGGGUCGGCGUUGGGGAUCGGCCCUGCCUCUUGGCGGUGGCCGUCUCCGAAAUACAGUGGCGGUCUCGCCGCAGCCUCUCCUGCGCAGUAGUUUGCACACUCGCAUCGGGAGCGCGGCGCGUCCACAGCCGUUAAACACCCAACUUCUGAAAUGUUGACCUCGGAUCAGGUAGGAAUACCCGCUGAACUUAAGCAUAUCAAUAAGCGGAUGA
Molecule: unclassified non-coding RNA, 355 nt
Filed under: soil metagenome
Description: partial contains 5.8S ribosomal RNA, internal transcribed spacer 2, and large subunit ribosomal RNA
Rfam family: 5.8S ribosomal RNA (bases 1-120)
Source: RNAcentral